Paramisgurnus dabryanus is the source of this 661-nucleotide long non-coding RNA. RefSeq lists it as uncharacterized. NCBI's taxonomy places the organism in Eukaryota, Metazoa, Chordata, Actinopteri, Cypriniformes, Cobitidae. The record is from RefSeq and is a predicted model, not a curated record.
AGAUGAAGGGGAGGAGUUUAUAAUGACUAUAAAUGAGGAAGAGAGCACAAGUCGGUCCUUUCAAUCCUGCAGACUCUCUUGUCUGAGAUGGAGCGGAGAUGAUCCACUUGCAAGCAGUGAUCCAACUGUCAAUGUACUGGAACAACUCCAGAACGCUGUCAUUCGAUGACUGCCUGCAAGAUGAGACAUCACGCUGCUGAAGGAUGUCUUUUGGCAUUUUGCCUAAUGCUUGCAUUUUAUUUGUAAGUUUUUUUGGAGGAGAGGAGGAAAACCUGUCUGCCAAGGGAUUUGGGCACUCGGGUCCACUGCCCUGUUUUAGUGGCUCCUGUGUGGUUUUCCUUUGGAAACCUCAUCAGUCCUCUGGAUGGGGUUCAGUGGACCUGCAGUGUACAGCGCCAGAUCUAUGAACUGCUGAUGAAGCACUGACAACUUGAAGCAACCUAAAAACCUACACAACUCAACAAAUGACACAGAAAGUCGACUAUUACCUAACCCUAUCCCUAAACCUUUUACCUAUGGUCGGCUUCUGGUUGUCUGUUGCUUGGUUGGUAGGUCAUGGGGAUGGCCUGCUGUGAAACACAACCUUUUUUUAUUUUUAUUUCCAAGGCUGCGCAACUUUCCGAAAAAAGACAAUAAAAAUUGAAAAAUCUGGUAACUGAAA